CGUCUGUUCAUUCCGUCAAGUCAUUUGUCGUGAAUUUUUGCCCGUAAUAUAUUAUCCAGUUCAUUCCCGCCAUCGUCACCGAUUCCGUCUUCAGAUUCUCCGGAAACCGAGGGAUCUUUCGCAACGUCAGACGGAUUGAUUCUGGUUCGAUCAACUUUCUUACACAGGAAGCACCGAACCUGAUCGCGGUCUCGCGGUGUUCGCGGUAUCAUUGGAUGAUCAAAAAGAUGUGCUAACGAGUCGUGGCACGAGCUGGUAGCAGAGCGGUUAUGUUUGCAGUGCAAUCAGGUGGCGGCGCUAAAGAGGAAGAGGCUCCUCGCACCUUCCUGAUAACGAGAUGUGCCGCUACGUUGAAGCAGUCAUACUCUCUUUUACGCGUCGAGGGCUGCUACCUUCUUUCGACUUGCAAACCGAGUUGCACGUUCUGCUAACAGAUCGUUGUUAUCUACGUUGCUGUAUCAAGCAAAAAGCUGUUUUCUACGCAGAUGAAAAUGGCUGCCAGUUUUAGAAGUCACAUCCUCACGUAUGUUUGUAUACACUUAACACGACUGUAUUACACAGUCACCUGUGUACGUAGCUGGAAAGCACCCGAUAUACAUAUUGUGACAUCUUCUUCUAAUAUCAUCGCAUUGACAUCUGCGUUGUUAACUUUAAGAAUUUUGCGGAUUUAUUCGAUUAUAUUUGAUCAAGGAAACUUAAUCAUACGUGCAAGAAUGAGACAGAAAUAUUAAAUGAAUGUAUUAUGUAUAUAAAAUUAGCGCGAUGAUUUUAAUUACAAUAACAACUGAUUUUUAAAAAUACAUAGAAAAAUAUACUUAGAUAUUAUAUUGGAUAAAAAUAUUCUCAUACUUAAACACUUUGAAAAUAACUCAAUCUCAAUUUCCAAAGCCUUUGUUUUUGUCUAGAAUUGUUAAUACCGCUAUUGUUAGUAGAACAAGUGUAAAUAUUUAUUUAAUGGGGUGAUUCAAUGUCUUUUCUGUGUGCCAGCAGGUUAAAAUCCCGGCUCGCGAGGUAGCUUCUUACAAUUACGACGCCAUCACAUUUACACGCCGCGAUAUUGCGCAUAACGCGACUUUUGCGUGAUAACGGUUAUCGCACAAAAUUUAUUGUCAGCAAACAGACCUCUUUCUUCGAGGAACUUCCUACUCUUUAAACACAAUGUUACGUAAAGCGAUUAAAAUAUCAACAAUUAAUUAUUGUACAUAUGUAUGAACAUGUAAAUUGAUAUAUAUUUGAUGCUUUCGCGGUAUAUUGUAUUGACAUUUGAAGAUAUUUUUCGGAUUUAAACUGCGUUAAUGUCAUAUUUAUAUCGACGUUUUGAUACCUAAUACUCGAAUUGCUCUUGAAACCCUGAUGAAGUGAACUGAAAUGUUCACAAAACGUCGGUAUAAAAACCCGAAAAACAUCAUCAAAUGUUAA
Long non-coding RNA from Pseudomyrmex gracilis, 1419 nucleotides. RefSeq lists it as uncharacterized. The transcript has 3 exons. The record is from RefSeq and is a predicted model, not a curated record. NCBI's taxonomy places the organism in Eukaryota, Metazoa, Arthropoda, Insecta, Hymenoptera, Formicidae.